Molecule: non-coding RNA, 30 nt
Filed under: Homo sapiens (human)
Lineage: Eukaryota; Metazoa; Chordata; Mammalia; Primates; Hominidae
Source: RNAcentral
UCGGAGAAGCUCCCGAGUGUCCGGCCUAGA